UACAGAGGGUGCGAGCGUUAAUCGGAAUUACUGGGCGUAAAGCGUGCGCAGGCGGUUUUGUAAGUCUGACGUGAAAUCCCCGGGCUUAACCUGGGAAUUGCGUUGGAGACUGCAAGGCUAGAAUCUGGCAGAGGGGGGUAGAAUUCCACGUGUAGCAGUGAAAUGCGUAGAGAUGUGGAGGAACACCGAUGGCGAAGGCAGCCCCCUGGGUCAAGAUUGACGCUCAUGCACGAAAGCGUGGGGAGCAAACAGG
Molecule: ribosomal RNA, 253 nt
Filed under: uncultured bacterium
Lineage: Bacteria
Description: partial 16S ribosomal RNA
Rfam family: Bacterial small subunit ribosomal RNA
Source: RNAcentral